Molecule: ribosomal RNA, 220 nt
Filed under: uncultured bacterium
Lineage: Bacteria
Description: partial 16S ribosomal RNA
Rfam family: Bacterial small subunit ribosomal RNA
Source: RNAcentral
UAAUGUAUGGGGAUCUGCCCGAUAGAGGGGGAUAACUACUGGAAACGGUGGCUAAUACCGCAUAACGUCGCAAGACCAAAGUGGGGGACCUUCGGGCCUCAUGCCAUCAGAUGUGCCCAGAUGGGAUUAGCUAGUAGGUGGGGUAACGGCUCACCUAGGCGACGAUCCCUAGCUGGUCUGAGAGGAUGAUCAGCCACACUGGGACUGAGACACGGCCCAG